AAAAUUUAAAUUUAAAAUACUAAAAUAGUAAAUAAAUGUUUAUUGAAACUUAAAUAAUUUGGCGGUAUUUUAGUUCAUUUAGAGGAAUCUGUUUAAUAAUUGAUAAUCCACGAAUAAAUUUACUUAAUUUAUAAUUUUGUAUAUCGUUGUUAAAAAAAUAUUUUUUAAUAAAAUUAAUAUUUAAAAAUUAGAAUAUAAAUUUAAAUCAGAUCAAGAUGCAGAUUAUAAUUAAGAAUAUAAUGGAUUACAAUAAAUUUAUUUAAAUGAAUUUUAAUUUGUAAAAAUUAAUUGAAAGUGGAUUUAAAUGUAAUUUUAUUUAAUUUAAUAAAAUGAUUAAAAAUUAAAAUAUGU
RNAcentral lists this ribosomal RNA (351 nucleotides) under Feraxinia nyei. RNAcentral describes it as "partial 12S small subunit ribosomal RNA". Lineage: Eukaryota; Metazoa; Arthropoda; Insecta; Lepidoptera; Noctuidae. The record is from RNAcentral.